AAUUUUGUGUGUGUGUGAUGGAGUCAGGGUUUUGGAACUGUGACCUCUCUUUUUGUGUUUCAGAACUGGUCUCUCCUACUGUGGGUUUUUUUUAAAGAUUGGCACCUGAGCUAACAUCUGUUGCCAAUCUUUUUUUUUUUCCUUCUUCUUCUUCUCCCCAAAGCUCCCCCAGCACAUGGUUGUGUAUUCUAGUUGUGAGUGCCUAUGGUUGUGCUGUGUGGGACGUGCCUCAGCAUGGCUUGAUGAGGGUGCCAUGUCCGCGCACAGGAUCCGAACCAGCGAAACCCUGGGCUGCUGAAGUGGAGCGCGCGAACUUAACUGCUCGGCCACGGGGCUGGCCCCUGUGGCUUUUUCUUUUUACAAAGGUAUUCUUUUACAUUCAGACGUGGAGCACGAACUCUACCAGUGCAUCCAUAUGAUAUAGAAAAAGACUGGCAAAACAUCCUUUAAAAUAUGACUGACAGCAGGAAUAACUGGUGUAUUUCUGGUUUACCCUGUUAACUGGGAAUAGAAUUAACUGGAGCAGGGCGUUGUCUGAACAUUCUACUCCACGGCAUUUUCACAAUGGUGUUGUUUACCAGGCCCUCUGAUAAGGGAAGAAUACACAGGAAAAUGCAGAUUCUGAUGAAUAAGGACUGAGACACAACACAAGUGGUCAAAUUGUCCCUAUUUCCCCCAUCCCCCUCACAAAAGACGUAAAAUCACAAAGAAUCUACCACCAGCACUGCCGCCACCAAGCAACCGGAAUGCCGAGGAGUCUGGAUGACCCAUCCACAGACUUUAGAAUUGCCUCAGCUUGGCCUAAGUGUGUCCUGCCCAGGAAACUCCACACCAGUAGGAUUAUGCCCUAUUGCGUGUUGCUGCAUCCCAGGAUGGAGCCUACGGAGCACGACGACUGUCACAGAGCAGGCGCUCCAUAAAUAUCUGUGGAAUGAAGGAAGCAAGAUGGGAUCCCACCGGCCCCAAGGCUUUGUUGAAUGGAACCGUGAGUGAGAAUGUAAACUCUCGAGCCCAAGGCUUUCCACGGAAUUCCCUUUGGACUGGUUCAUUCUUUUUGCUCAACAUGAGAAAACAGCAGGAGUUAUUGGUUGGACUGCGUGAUGAGCCAGAUUGUCUGGGGGCAAGGCAGGCUGGGUAGGGGAGAGGAAACAACCCUAUGGACU
This 1163-nucleotide long non-coding RNA is filed under the name Equus caballus (horse). RNAcentral describes it as "lncRNA (ENSECAG00000046873.1)". The record is from RNAcentral. Lineage: Eukaryota; Metazoa; Chordata; Mammalia; Perissodactyla; Equidae.